RNAcentral lists this ribosomal RNA (253 nucleotides) under uncultured bacterium. RNAcentral's name for it is "partial 16S ribosomal RNA". It matches the Rfam family "Bacterial small subunit ribosomal RNA", at positions 524 to 776 of the family's 1533-position model. The record is from RNAcentral.
UACGUAGGGGGCUAGCGUUGUCCGGAAUCAUUGGGCGUAAAGCGCGUGUAGGCGGUCCGGUAAGUCCGCUGUGAAAGCCAGGGGCUCAACCCUUGGAUGCCGGUGGAUACUGUCGGGCUUGAGUACGGAAGAGGCGAGUGGAAUUCCUGGUGUAGCGGUGAAAUGCGCAGAUAUCAGGAAGAACACCCAUGGCGAAAGCAGCUCUCUGGGACGGUACUGACGCUGAGACGCGAAAGCGUGGGGAGCGAACAGG